This 420-nucleotide long non-coding RNA is filed under the name Mytilus galloprovincialis (Mediterranean mussel). Lineage: Eukaryota; Metazoa; Mollusca; Bivalvia; Mytilida; Mytilidae. The record is from RNAcentral.
AAAUAAACAAUUAAUUUCCCCAUAGGCGACAAUGGUAGCCUUUUUCGAGAUACAGACUUUAGAAAGUUGAUUUUCUUAACGCAACCUUGCUAGAAUCAAAGAAAAGUUAUUAGGACAGUAUUUUUUGGUCCAAAAAAUAUAGGUUCGCGUUGCUUUUCUUAGCGUAUUUUGUACUUAUCUCCCAUGCCUAUCAAUUUUGCCCUUAAAAAUACGUGUCUUGUCCUAGCAUUGAAAAGUCAUCUCAGUGCCUUUAGGGCUACGGAAUAAUUUUUAUUUUGCCUUUUGUAUAAAACAGAGUGCAUGAAGUCUCUAAUAAUAAAAAAUAACGGGCGCACAUAUCGACCAAUCAGGAUUAGCCAUACUCUUAAUUCUGAAUACCAUGUUGCGCCCAUAAAAUCUAAUGGUGUAUUGUAACCUAUA